This 73-nucleotide transfer RNA is filed under the name Camelus bactrianus (Bactrian camel). It matches the Rfam family "tRNA". Rfam says of the family: Transfer RNA (tRNA) molecules are approximately 80 nucleotides in length. The record is from Rfam by way of RNAcentral. RNAcentral also lists the same sequence under 2 other names. Lineage: Eukaryota; Metazoa; Chordata; Mammalia; Artiodactyla; Camelidae.
GGGUAUAUAGCUCAGUGGUAGAGUGCAGUGCUUAGCAUGCACGAGGUCCUGGAUUCAACCCCUGGUACCUCCA